CCCUGGUAGUCCCACGNCGAAACGAUGAUGACUCGCUGUUGGCGAUACACAGUCAGCGGCUUAGCGAAAGCGUUAAGUAUCCACCUGGGGAGUACGCUCGCAAGAGURAAACUCAAAGGAAUURACGGGGGCNCGCAAAGCGGAGGAACAUGUGGUUUAAUUCGAUGAUACGCGAGGAACCUUACCUGGGCUUAAAGUGCCAUGACCGCCGGASAAAUUUGGCUCUCCGCAAGGACAGGGUACAAGGUGCUGCAUGUUGUCGUCAGCUCGUGCCGUGAGGUGUCGGGUUAAGUCCCAUAACGAGCGCAACCCUUUUGUCAGUUGCUAACAGGUAAAGCUGAGGACCCUGGCGAGACUGCCACCGUAAGGUGUGGGAAGGUGGGGAUGACGUCAAAUCAGCACGGCCCUUAUGUCCAGGGCUACACACGUGUUCAAUGGCCGAUACAAAGGGCAGCUACCGGGCGACCGGAUGCUAAUCUCUAAAGUCGGUCCAGUUCGGAUCGGAGUCUGCAACCCGACUCCGUGAAGCUGGAUUCGCUAGUAAUCGCGCUCAGCCAUGGCGCGGUGAAUACGUUCCCGGGCCUUGUACACACCGCCCGUCAAACCAUGGAGUUGGGGGUACCUGAAGUAUGUGACCGCGAGGAGCGUCCUAGGGUAAAACCAAUGACGGGGUU
RNAcentral lists this ribosomal RNA (674 nucleotides) under uncultured Lake Michigan sediment bacterium LMBA22. Its description in RNAcentral is "bacterial SSU rRNA". It matches the Rfam family "Bacterial small subunit ribosomal RNA", at positions 785 to 1482 of the family's 1533-position model. The record is from RNAcentral. Lineage: Bacteria; Pseudomonadati; Bacteroidota.